AACGCAUAUUGCACCCGACAGGUUUACUUGUCGGGUCUGCCUGUCUGAGUAUCAAUACGGACCCAAUCAAUAAAUAAUAUUUGUUGAAUUGGUGCUCACCACUUUUACUGGUGGUGGAUAUGAGUGUUUAACUGCUUAGAAAAGUGGUUAAUCGCUUGAAAUGUAUUGGUGUGCAUCAAUGUUUGUUGAUAAUUGCCAAUCGCUAAUGUAAAGCAUUGUUAAUCAUCUUUAGUUAGAUGUUCGUUGUUUUUAAUUAGCCUUGGAUCAAACGAUUAUUAGCCGUGCUUUAUUAUUAUUAAUAGAGCGUGUUAUUGAUACUAUCAUUUGAACACUCUUGUUAACUAAUCACUAACAAUAGAGCGUCCACUUUAGACCAUCUUGAUCUCAGAUCAGGCAGGAUGACCCGCUGAACUUAA
Molecule: unclassified non-coding RNA, 416 nt
Filed under: uncultured Piptocephalidaceae
Lineage: Eukaryota; Fungi; Zoopagomycota; Zoopagomycetes; Zoopagales; Piptocephalidaceae
Description: sequence contains ITS2
Source: RNAcentral